Erigeron canadensis is the source of this 251-nucleotide long non-coding RNA. RefSeq lists it as uncharacterized. The record is from RefSeq and is a predicted model, not a curated record. NCBI's taxonomy places the organism in Eukaryota, Viridiplantae, Streptophyta, Magnoliopsida, Asterales, Asteraceae. The transcript has 3 exons.
GAAAGUAGCUGCAGCAUCCGGAGAUAUGAGGAAAGCUCUUGGUAUCUGCAGGGGUGCAAUCGAAAUGCUUGAAUCUGAACCUCGAGAAUCUACCGGCACUUCAAAUCUGACAUCAAUGGUCAGAGUUGAUCAUAUGGCCAUGGCUUUGUCAAGGGCUUACAAAUCACCAAUAGUUGACACUGUACAGUCUCUUCCCCAACAUCAUCAGGUACCGUUGUUCUACCUUAAAAAGUCUUGAGGUGGCAACAUGG